UUGCUCCUCAUAGCUACUCUUUGAUGUGCCUUCCUGCACCCAACAACCCGCAUCACCGUGCUGCAUCUUGGACAUCUCUGAUGGUUAAACCCCUGUCAAUACCAAAUUGUCUCAAAACUCCAGGACACAUCUGAGGGUAUUUCCACCAUGUUCCCGUUCACCUCAGCACAAAGUGACAGGAAAGUGGCUGGAAAGCACGGACAGACGCAAACCCUUGGAUUAAACCUAAGGAUGUGGAAAACAAUUGUUUUUCUCCAUUGGGCUGGUGAUAGCCCAACCUGUGCUGUCUUCUGUGUGACGCCUCUGGGCUGGCUCUGAGCAUCAAGAAAUGUUUUUGGGAGGGAGCAUGAGAAGAAGCUUCUAACUCUCUCUCUCURUAACUCCCAAGACUCCAUCAACAAUGCCAAUACAAGGUUUAAGAUCAGAUCCUUCUUGCCGCAAGGAAGCGGGAAUGCCAUAAAUUUGACCUUUGGAUAUUUGUAAGUACAUAUAAACCCCCUUGAGGAAUGAUAAUGUAUUUUUAGUAGCUUGCAAUGAUGUUCUGCAUGUAGGACUAGAAUUAUUCUGUGAGUUUUUAAGUUAUAUUGGACUGAAUUCAUCAGUAGAGACUAAAAUUUGGAGUGCAUGUGCUGUGGAGUUUGCCCUGCACCCACUGAGCCUAAUCAGUGAAGCUUUAUAACCAGACCCAGUGACUGCCACUCGAUCUCCUCAUCCGGAGCAUCGAAACAGGGGAGAACUGGUUUGCGGUCUGGCUGACAUCUAGUAUGUGGCUUUUGUCUGUGUCAUCUUGYGAAUGACAAUAAAUAUCAAAUAAUUCU
Nothoprocta perdicaria is the source of this 818-nucleotide long non-coding RNA. RefSeq lists it as uncharacterized. The transcript has 2 exons. NCBI's taxonomy places the organism in Eukaryota, Metazoa, Chordata, Aves, Tinamiformes, Tinamidae. The record is from RefSeq and is a predicted model, not a curated record.